UCCUGGACUGAAUUUUGAAGAAUGAACAGAACUCACUACUAGAUGUAUGAAGAGAAAAUCGCAUCCUAAACAGAGGGAACUCCAGGAUUUUAGACAUGGAUUCAUCAAUGCGCAGUUGCAGUACUGUACAUGGGAGAAGUCAGGAGUGAUAGUUGAGCUAAGAGAUAGAGACAUCCGUAGAGGUAUGUACCGUCACAGUUUGUGAGACAGGCAAUAAGAGGAGUUCA
This 227-nucleotide long non-coding RNA is filed under the name Homo sapiens (human). RNAcentral's name for it is "HSALNT0236614". Lineage: Eukaryota; Metazoa; Chordata; Mammalia; Primates; Hominidae. The record is from RNAcentral.